CAGCAGCCGCGGUAAAACGGAGGGUGCAAGCGUUAAUCGGAAUUACUGGGCGUAAAGCGCACGCAGGCGGUCUGUCAAGUCAGAUGUGAAAUCCCCGGGCUUAACCUGGGAACUGCAUUUGAAACUGGCAGGCUAGAGUCUUGUAGAGGGGGGUAGAAUUCCAGGUGUAGCGGUGAAAUGCGUAGAGAUCUGGAGGAAUACCGGUGGCGAAGGCGGCCCCCUGGACAAAGACUGACGCUCAGGUGCGAAAGCGUGGGGAGCAAACAGGAUUAGAUACCCGCGUAGUCCCUGUCUCUUAUAC
This 301-nucleotide ribosomal RNA is filed under the name uncultured bacterium. RNAcentral describes it as "partial 16S ribosomal RNA". It matches the Rfam family "Bacterial small subunit ribosomal RNA", at positions 509 to 807 of the family's 1533-position model. The record is from RNAcentral.